GCGAUCUGCCGAAGCUGUGGGAUGUCAAAACGCAUUGGUAGGGGAGCGUUCCGUCUUAGAGGGAAGCAACCGCGAAAGCGGGGGUCGACGAAGCGGAAGCGAGAAUGUCGGCUUGAGUAACGAAAACAUUGGUGAGAAUCCAAUGCCCCGAAAACCCAAGGUUUCCUCCGCAAGGUUCGUCCACGGAGGGUGAGUCAGGGCCUAAGAUCAGGCCGAAAGGCGUAGUCGAUGGACAACAGGUCAAUAUUCCUGUACUACCCCUUAUUGGUACGGAGGGACGGAGGAGGCUAGGUUAGCCGAAAGAUGGUUAUAGGUUUAAGG
RNAcentral lists this ribosomal RNA (321 nucleotides) under Triticum aestivum (bread wheat). RNAcentral's name for it is "partial small subunit ribosomal RNA". It matches the Rfam family "Bacterial large subunit ribosomal RNA", at positions 1186 to 1517 of the family's 2925-position model. The record is from RNAcentral. Lineage: Eukaryota; Viridiplantae; Streptophyta; Magnoliopsida; Poales; Poaceae.